CAGGAGACUUGUAAACGAACAUUCCGGAACAUUCCGUGAGUGUUGUGGAGAAUAAUUCGCAGUCGGCGUGGGCACUCCUAGGUGAGGCAAGCCUUCCAGAAGGGUGAGCAAACAGGCCACAGAUCAUUCUGGAAGAGAAUCCGGCUCAUCCCAGGACGUUGGGUUUCAGCUGGCUAUCCCGCCCACAGGAUGCUGGCGCUGUUGAGGGACCCGUGCCAGUGCCCCAAGGUGGGGCGGGCAGGCUCCAAGCACAACUUGCUGCCAGGAGAACCACCAGUUGGCAAGGAUGCUGUUCUCGUGCGGUUGAGCAGAUGUGUUCCUGGGGGAAUGUGCUGGAACAGACAACGUCACCCGAAAGUCAGUGCGCCACCCCCAGACAAACCACAGCCUGACCAGCCUUGCAGUGCCCUGGCGGGCGGCCACCGCUCUGAGGGACCUGAGAGUGCAAAUGCCACCCAGCUCCCUCCAGAAGUCUCACUGUGCCCUAGAACUCUGGGGCCCGUCAAC
Molecule: long non-coding RNA, 507 nt
Filed under: Equus caballus (horse)
Lineage: Eukaryota; Metazoa; Chordata; Mammalia; Perissodactyla; Equidae
Description: lncRNA (ENSECAG00000046736.1)
Source: RNAcentral